UCUCGGCAACGGAUAUCUCGGCUCUCGCAUCGAUGAAGAACGUAGCGAAAUGUGAUACCUGGUGUGAAUUGCAGAAUCCCGUGAACCAUCGAGUCUUUGAACGCAAGUUGCGCCCGAGGCCAUCCGGCUAAGGGCACGCCUGCCUGGGCGUCACG
RNAcentral lists this ribosomal RNA (155 nucleotides) under Musa ornata. Its description in RNAcentral is "5.8S ribosomal RNA". It matches the Rfam family "5.8S ribosomal RNA". Rfam says of the family: 5.8S ribosomal RNA (5.8S rRNA) is a component of the large subunit of the eukaryotic ribosome. It is transcribed by RNA polymerase I as part of the 45S precursor that also contains 18S and 28S rRNA. The record is from RNAcentral. Lineage: Eukaryota; Viridiplantae; Streptophyta; Magnoliopsida; Zingiberales; Musaceae.